Molecule: long non-coding RNA, 782 nt
Organism: Solanum lycopersicum (tomato)
Lineage: Eukaryota; Viridiplantae; Streptophyta; Magnoliopsida; Solanales; Solanaceae
Source: RefSeq, a predicted model, not a curated record
UGUGAUUUUUAAUCGAAAUUUUGGAAUUUCAUUUUUUUUAAUCAAAGCCAUAAAUUGUGAUUAGCGAUUGUGGAUUAAGGAAUUUUGGGGGCUCAGGGUCAGGGUCAAGGUCAGGCUCAGGGAGGUGCCGAAGGUGGCGGAGCGGCUGCCGGAGCUCUGAGUACCGAUGAUUGGAGGACUCAACUUUUUUCCGACUCGCGUCAAAGGAUUGUCAACAAGAUACCUUGAAGCAACAUCUUCCUAUUUCUGGGCAAGAAGAAGUACACGAGCUUAAGAAAAUUGCUAUGAGCUUUGAAGAAAAGGUCUAUUCUGCUGCUACAAUGAGAUUAUCUUCGAAAGAUAUCUUUAGAGAUGGUGACCAUGAAGACAAAAUCUCAAAAUCCUAUGACCAAUUCUAUUAAGCCAAAUCUUAUAAGUAAUGGUCAGAAUGCCCUUGGUCCAGGUGAGUUUACAGAAUUUCGGUGUGGACUUAAAAUGAAUGGGAAUAAUUGGAAGGCUCAAGUUCAAAGAGAUGGUGAAUGUGGCAGUGGUUGCCGGAGCUCUGAAUUUCGAUGAUUGGAAGACUCAACUUUUUCCCGAUUUGCGUCAAAAGAUUGUCAUGUGGGAAUGUGAAACACGAUUCAAUAAAGUCGUGUUGGCUCAUGGCACCUGAUCCAAAUAUAUUAUAUUGGCUCGUGGCACCCGAUCAAACAAUAUAGUUAAAUCAUUAACAAUACUUUAUCAAACCUUGUUUAUUCAAUGCAUCACUUUGAUAGGAUAAUUUUAAAUUAUGGAUUUCGCGA